Long non-coding RNA from Sapajus apella (tufted capuchin), 2595 nucleotides. RefSeq lists it as uncharacterized. The transcript is spliced from 2 exons. The record is from RefSeq and is a predicted model, not a curated record. Lineage: Eukaryota; Metazoa; Chordata; Mammalia; Primates; Cebidae.
UUGCACUCCAACCUGGGCAACGAGAGUGAAACUCCAUCUCACAAAAUAAAAAAAGAAAAAGAACAAAGAAAAAGAGGCAGAUGUUGUCUCAUUUGGCUUAACAGAACCUCCAACUGAUUAUAAGCCAGGAGGGAGGAGUUUAAAAGGCCUGCUGAUCUGAAGGGGAAUCUUCAGGUCCCUAUGGGCUCUCAUCUCCCCAAGGAGUCUUCUCACUUAGACCAGCACUCCCAAAGCAUGGAACCCAGCAAUCGCUGCAGUGAGCCACAAGUGCUUUAGGGUUUCAGAGGAAAAAGCAAUGCGUUGGCCUAAAGGAAGAAGCUGAGGCAAAAUGAAUGUUAAGUAGAGAGCUUAUGUGAGCCAAAUUUGAGGACUGCAACCCUGGGGAUUUCGAUUCAAGUUGCCCAGAAUAGUGGGUUUUCAAAGGGAAAAAAGAUGGAGCAGUUCUUGGUAAAAUUGUUUACCAAGUAUUUAUAUUGGUUCAUUAAAAUACCAUAAGCUUCUUUUUUCUUCUUCUUUUUGAGACAAAGCCUCCCUGUGUUGCCCAGCCUGAUCUUGAACUCCUGUACUCAAGUGAUCAGUGUAGCUGCAAUUACAGGUGCAUGCCACAGUGACUCACUCAAAAUAACAUAAGCUAUUGAUUGGCUAUGUAUUCUUUGUAUCACAAAUGCCAGAAACAUGAAGAUAUGGGUGAGGGUCAUAUUGUGCAGCCUGUAACAUUUUAGGUAAUUUAUCAGCUAGUCUGGAAACUACAGGCAAUAAAAGAAAAAUACAAAAUGCCUUUAAACAAUUAACCCUGUGCAUAGGUUAAUGAGACUCUCCUGUCUCUCUGCUAAAUUUUGCAUUCCUCACAUUCUUCAGACUGCUCUGAGCUACUUUCCUUUCCCAAAUGAAACAGUUGUAGUCACACUUCAUAAAUUGAAAAUGUAACAUAGUAAUGAUUUCCCAGAAAUCUCAUUUUAUUCUUAAUAGUCCUUGCAUAUUUAAAUGUUGAGCAUUUUCCACAAACACGAUAUUAAUGAAAUGUUCUUAAAUAACAUUCAGUUAACAGUAUUCAGUUCAUUCUGGUUAAUAUAUUUUUCACAACAUUUGUUUAUUUCUGUUUAGUAAGUCUACAAUCUUUAUCAUUGCCAUGGGUUAUUAGAUUGACUUAGUGGCUCAGAAGUAUUCAUUGAAUCCUAAAAUAAUGAUGGAGAGAGUAGCGGAUAUUCCACACAUCAGGAUAAUCUGUGAACACACAUAAUGCUCAUAAUUCCAGAAUGAUGUAGAAUGGCAACCAGGACUCCAUGGGUCAAGCACAUCUGCAGGUGUGAUGAUCUUGCACAAGCAGCCAAAAAGUGAAAGUGAGAAGCGCCACAAUGAACAUCUGAAAAAUGUGUUUGAUUAAAUCCAAGUUCUCCUUCCCCCAGAUCCCUGAGCACAGUUAUAAGACCUGGCCAGAUGAGAUUGUUAGGACUCAGAAAACAAUACCCCUGUAGGAUCCAAGAGAAAAUGUCCUUUUUGCCCCCUAAAGGUUUGCUAAAAAAAUAACUUACAAAAGACAGAUUAAUUGGAGAAAAGGCAUAUGAAUUUAUGUGCACAUAGGAAAGAACCACAGAGUGAUUACUCCAAACACCCAGUGGGGUACAGAAGCUUAUAUACCACCUUGAGGUUACCAAAAGAAUGGGAGCCCAAAACAGGUUAUAGUGGUAAAUCAGGCUAUGACGCAAGACAGGUUAUGGUGGGGAGAGAAGGGGAGGCCUGGCUAGCAAACGUGGUCUUGCUAUGUAGAUGAAACCUCACAGAUAGCAGCCUGCAGAAAGAAUAGAUGAUAAAUGUUUCCAACCUUCAAAGGUAUCAAACUCUCACUUAAUCUUUCCUAGAUCAAACAAAGGAGGGCUCAGAAGAAGCCUGGCUGCAUCAAGGCAGAUUCCGUACAGAUGCAAAACUCCCCAUGAAAGACAGCUUUGCAGGGCUACUCCUGUUGGCUGGCUCUCUGAAGAGACACCUCAAAAUAUAUCAAAGAAGGAUAUUUUGGGGUGGUUUCCCUGGAGUUUGCAAUAUAUGUUUAUGACUAACUCGAGUCCACUUUCAAAUUACACUAUAACACCUUGCAGGCAAUGUGAGUACCUUAUAAUAACAAGAUACUCCUAAUUAUUCCCUCUUGUUCUUUGUAUCAUUGUUGUCAUUUGUUUCAUUUUAUAAUAAGCUGUAAUGGUUUGAAUGCAUUUUUGCUAUUAUAUUUUGUUUUGUUUUGUUUUUUAUUUAGAGAUGGGGUCUCCCAAUGUUGAGCAGGCUGGCCUCACACUCCUAGGUUCAAGUGAUCCACCCGCCUCGGCCUCCCAAAGUGCUGGGAUUACAGGCAUGAGCCACCGCGCCCGGCCUGCUAUUAUUGUUUUGAACAAACUGUUAUCUGUUUGAUCAAUCAAGAAUAAGAAAAAUAGGAGGGGAGGGAGAGAAAAAAAAGAAUAAGAAAAAUAAACAUUUUUAUUUUAAUCUUCAUUUACUCCUUCUCUAAUACUUUUCACUUCGUUAUGUAGAUCCGAGUUUCUUACCUACAUAAUUUUCCUUCUCUCUGAAGAACUUCUUUAACAUUUCUCCAGGCAGGUCUACUGGCAA